CCGGCAGUGAUCGAUAAAGGCAGUGUAGUUAUAUUAUUGCGACGCGCUUCUUCGGCUGCUUAGCCUCUCUACCAUUUCUUCUCAUCUACAUACAUAAGAACGCGUAGAGGAAGAGCAAAAAAGAAAUAUACGAGAACAGAGCAGCCUCCUACAUCUACAACCGAAUGAGUUUCUUCCACGUCUCCCAGGCUUCUCCGAAAUCUUUCCUGACUGCUUCUGGAUUUAGUCGGUGAACCGUCACACACCUUGUCCGAAAAACGUCUCCCAAAGGGAUCCAUGCGUCUUUCCAGAAGCUCCGAUCGGGUGGCAGUCGCACGCUGUAACACACGGCAUGCCCACAAACGAAAGUGUUAGUUCAG
Molecule: long non-coding RNA, 359 nt
Organism: Vespa mandarinia (Asian giant hornet)
Lineage: Eukaryota; Metazoa; Arthropoda; Insecta; Hymenoptera; Vespidae
Source: RefSeq, a predicted model, not a curated record